RNAcentral lists this ribosomal RNA (419 nucleotides) under Rhipicephalus sanguineus (brown dog tick). RNAcentral's name for it is "partial 16S ribosomal RNA". The record is from RNAcentral. Lineage: Eukaryota; Metazoa; Arthropoda; Arachnida; Ixodida; Ixodidae.
UGAAWUAMAAGGUAUUGAAUAAGAUUUUAAUUGAAUGCUAAGAGAAUGGAAGUCCAGAAAAAAACUUUUUUUAAAUUAAAAAUUGAAGUUUUUUUAAUUUGUGCAGAAACAAUUAUUUAUAUUAAAGACAAGAAGACCCUAUGAAUUUAUUAAAUUUUUAUUUAAUAUGUAAUUACUAUUAGAAAAAUUUUGGCUGGGGCGGCUAGAAAAUAUUAUGAACUUUUUAAAAAUAAAAUGAUCCAUUAUUAAUGAUUUUAUGUUAAAUACUCUAGGGAUAACAGCGUUAUAUUUUUUGAUAGAUCAUAUUGACAAAAAAGUUUGCGACCUCGAUGUUGGAUUAGGAUACUUUUUUAAUGAAGAUAUUAAAAAAAGAAGUUUGUUCAACUUUUAAUUUCCUACUUGAUCUGAKUCAGACCGGA